Molecule: transfer RNA, 78 nt
Filed under: bacterium
Lineage: Bacteria
Description: tRNA-Arg
Rfam family: tRNA
About the family: Transfer RNA (tRNA) molecules are approximately 80 nucleotides in length.
Source: RNAcentral
GCGCCCGUAGCUCAACUUGGAAAGAGCGUGAGACUCCGGAUCUCAAGGCUUGGGGUUCAAGUCCCCACGGGCGCGCCU